RNAcentral lists this ribosomal RNA (255 nucleotides) under Listeria monocytogenes. RNAcentral's name for it is "partial 16S ribosomal RNA". It matches the Rfam family "Bacterial small subunit ribosomal RNA", at positions 572 to 826 of the family's 1533-position model. Lineage: Bacteria; Bacillati; Bacillota; Bacilli; Caryophanales; Listeriaceae. The record is from RNAcentral.
CAGGCGGUCUUUUAAGUCUGAUGUGAAAGCCCCGGGCUUAACCGGGGAGGGUCAUUGGAAACUGGAAGACUGGAGUGCAGAAGAGGAGAGUGGAAUUCCACGUGUAGCGGUGAAAUGCGUAGAUAUGUGGAGGAACACCAGUGGCGAAGGCGACUCUCUGGUCUGUAACUGACGCUGAGGCGCGAAAGCGUGGGGAGCAAACAGGAUUAGAUACCCUGGUAGUCCACGCCGUAAACGAUGAGUGCUAAGUGUUAG